Molecule: ribosomal RNA, 253 nt
Filed under: uncultured bacterium
Lineage: Bacteria
Description: partial 16S ribosomal RNA
Rfam family: Bacterial small subunit ribosomal RNA
Source: RNAcentral
UACGUAGGCAGCAAGCGUUGUUCGGAUUCACUGGGCGUAAAGGGUGCGUAGGCGGCCAGGUAAGUCUGCUGUGAAAUCCCGCAGCUCAACUGCGGAACUGCAUUGGAUACUAUCUGGCUAGAGGAAUGGAGGGGAGACUGGAAUUCUCGGUGUAGCAGUGAAAUGCGUAGAUAUCGAGAGGAACACCAGUGGCGAAGGCGAGUCUCUGGACAUUUCCUGACGCUGAGGCACGAAAGCCAGGGGAGCAAACGGG